Molecule: transfer RNA, 69 nt
Filed under: Rattus norvegicus (Norway rat)
Lineage: Eukaryota; Metazoa; Chordata; Mammalia; Rodentia; Muridae
Rfam family: tRNA
About the family: Transfer RNA (tRNA) molecules are approximately 80 nucleotides in length.
Source: Rfam by way of RNAcentral
GGGGAUUUGGCUCAGUGGUAGAGCGCUUGUCUAGCAAGCACAAGGCCCUGGGUUCAAUCCCCAGCUCCG